GGCCCCAUCGUCUAGUGGCUAGGACACAUCCUUCUCAAGGAUGGAACAUGAGUCCGAUUCUCAUUGGGGCUA
Molecule: transfer RNA, 72 nt
Filed under: bacterium
Lineage: Bacteria
Description: tRNA-Glu
Rfam family: tRNA
About the family: Transfer RNA (tRNA) molecules are approximately 80 nucleotides in length.
Source: RNAcentral